GGACGUAUGGGCAACCUGCUCGUGACAUCACUUCUGAUUGAUUUGCCUGCUCUAGCUGGCUAGGUGGGUGGCCCCGUCCUCCCUUGCCACUCUAUGUUCGUCCCUCCCGAAGCUCUGUGCUUGGGUCAGAGAGGAUGACCUUCCCUGAUAGAGGAAGAACGUUCUUUAGUCAAGGGUAUACAAACAGCUACAGUCCCCUGCUAGAAAACAAACUCUCAAGAAUGAGGAGCCCCUCAAGGAGGAAAGGAAAGACGGGGGCAGGAGUUUGGAAUCUACAAAAGAAUGAAGAGACUGUGU
Otolemur garnettii (small-eared galago) is the source of this 297-nucleotide unclassified non-coding RNA. Its record names the gene 7SK. It matches the Rfam family "7SK RNA". Rfam says of the family: 7SK was discovered as an abundant small nuclear RNA in the mid-70s but a possible function has only recently been suggested. Two independent studies have found that 7SK RNA binds the CDK9/cyclin T complex (known as elongation factor P-TEFb). P-TEFb activates transcription by phosphorylating the C-terminal domain of RNA polymerase II. The record is from Ensembl. Lineage: Eukaryota; Metazoa; Chordata; Mammalia; Primates; Galagidae.